UACGAAGGGAGCAAGCGUUGUUCGGAUUUACUGGGCGUAAAGAGCGCGUAGGCGGUUAUGUAAGUUGGAUGUGAAAGCCCCGGGCUCAACCUGGGAACUGCAUUCAAAACUACUUGACUUGAGUAUGGAAGAGGAUGGUGGAAUUCCCGGUGUAGAGGUGAAAUUCGUAGAUAUCGGGAAGAACACCCGUGGCGAAGGCGGCCAUCUGGUCCAUAACUGACGCUGAGGCGCGAAAGCGUGGGGAGCAAACAGG
Molecule: ribosomal RNA, 253 nt
Filed under: uncultured bacterium
Lineage: Bacteria
Description: partial 16S ribosomal RNA
Rfam family: Bacterial small subunit ribosomal RNA
Source: RNAcentral